AUUGAACGCUGGCGGCAGGCCUAACACAUGCAAGUCGAGCGGAUGAAGGGAGCUUGCUCCUGGAUUCAGCGGCGGACGGGUGAGUAAUGCCUAGGAAUCUGCCUGGUUGUGGGGGAUAACGUCCGGAAACGGGCGCUAAUACCGCAUACGUCCUGAGGGAGAAUGUGGGGGAUCUUCGGACCUCACGCUAUCAGAUGAGCCUAGGUCGGAUUAGCUAGUUGGUGGGGUAAAGGCCUACCAAGGCGACGAUCCGUAACUGGUCUGAGAGGAUGAUCAGUCACACUGUAACUGAGACACGGUCCAGACUCCUACGGGAGGCAGCAGUGGGGAAUAUUGGACAAUGGGCGAGAGCCUGAUCCAGCCAUGCCGCGUGUGUGAAGAAGGUCUUCUGAUUGUAAAGCACUUUAAGUUGGGAGGAAGGGCAGUAAGUUAAUACCUUGCUGUUUUGACGUUACCAACAGAAUAAGCACCGGCUAACUUCGUG
RNAcentral lists this ribosomal RNA (484 nucleotides) under uncultured bacterium. Its description in RNAcentral is "partial 16S ribosomal RNA". It matches the Rfam family "Bacterial small subunit ribosomal RNA", at positions 30 to 507 of the family's 1533-position model. The record is from RNAcentral.